Molecule: ribosomal RNA, 320 nt
Filed under: uncultured eukaryote
Lineage: Eukaryota
Description: partial 18S ribosomal RNA
Rfam family: Eukaryotic small subunit ribosomal RNA
Source: RNAcentral
CCCUUAGAUGUUCUGGGCUGCACGCGCGCUACACUGAUGCAUCCAACAAGUGUAUCACCUUGUUCGAUAGGACUGGGUAAUCUUUUGAGUAUGCAUCGUGAUGGGGCUAGAUUAUUGUAAUUAUUAAUCUUCAACGAGGAAUUCCUAGUAAGCGCGAGUCAUCAGCUCGUGCUGAUUACGUCCCUGCCCUUUGUACACACCGCCCGUCGCUGCAACUGAUUGGGUGAUCUGGUGAACUGCGCGGACUGGUUAUGCCUUUACUGGUGCAACCGGGAAACGCCGUAAAUCAGGUACAUCUAGAAAUUGCAAAAGUCGUAACA